Molecule: long non-coding RNA, 1638 nt
Organism: Vidua macroura (Pin-tailed whydah)
Lineage: Eukaryota; Metazoa; Chordata; Aves; Passeriformes; Viduidae
Exons: 4
Source: RefSeq, a predicted model, not a curated record
CUCUGCCCGGGUGAGGGUUGGGGGCACUGCCCCGGUGAGGGGUGGGAACGGCUCUGCCCGGGAAAUAACCAAAGAGCUCAAAGCUGUGCUGGUGCCCCUCACUGCUGGUGCCCCCUCGCUGGUUCACAGCAGCAUCCGCCUGCCCAGGGGCACCUGAGGGCGCCGAGACAUCAGAUGCAUCUUCACACCAAUGGAUCAGGCAUCUACAAACAGCUCCAUUUCACUACCAGAACAUCCUCCAGCUGGACAGCAAACCCUAACCUUAGGAAAACAGUGAUCAUGCCAAAAUUUCUGUCAAGCUCACUGUGAUUAAUAGACCUCAGACUGUAAGGAGGGAGUAUUGAUAUCAUAAAUAACGCACUUCAUAAAGAAGGUUAAUUUUCAGACUAUCCAGAAGCAAUCUACAGACCCCUAAAAGUCAUAGGCAGGCUGAAAAUGAAGAUAAUUCUCCCAAUACUGCCAGCAAAAUAACUUAUGGAGCAGUGUUUUCCCUAGUGAGCUCACAUUGCCAGUGUGAUGGGAGUCGGUCCUUGUGGAGAUAACCACCCACUGAGAACAUCGUGUGCCACAGUAGCCAGCAUUGUACAGACACGUAAGAAACUGUUUCCAGGAGAAUUACCCUGGUUUAUAUUUAGCCUGGAUUGACCUAUUUCAGUGUGCAGUCACAUGCACACCCUUCUACCUGGCCUCAUCCUCCCUGUGAGCUGCUGAGUGUUCCUGUGGUCACGGAAUGUGGUGCAUGGAAGAACCUCUGAUGAAAGAGAGCAGGCAAAGAUUUUACAUCUGAUUCAACAGGAAACCAAAAGAAAAUCAAGUAGGAAAAGCAUAUGACACUAAAAUACACAAAUUAAGGCACUGUAUUCCUGCCAACAAAGCUGAGAGAACACACUUGGUAACCCCCCUAGGAUAGCAGGGAUAUGGGUAACUUCAGAAUUCACAAAGAAAUUCAGCUGGAAUUCACCUGGAAAUCACAUUAGUCACAGCACCCACCUCACAUUGCCUAAGGGAUUGACUUUCUAGCCUUCCUAGUACCAGCACCUGAAAAUAGGUCUUUGCUUUGUAGUUGUACUGUGAUGAAUGAGCUUCUCAGGCAUAUUUAAGUCAAAACUACCCUCCCCCUUGGUUUGGUUGGUGUUUUUUUUAGGGUUUUAUGACUGUUCAUUGACAUCCAGGGCUGCCCUUCCCAAGAGCCACAGGCAGAAAAUGUAGCAUCUCUAACUAUACAGCUCCCAUAGAUAAAAAGUUAACAAUUAUUUGAAAAUGUAUGGAAGAAAAAUGUAAGCCAGAGAUCCAAUUCAAAACUAUUUUACAAUUCAGUUAAUUCUGUCUCAAAGCAAACAUUAAAAUAGUAAGAUUCUGGAAAGAUGGGUGUUUUAUUUCUCUGAAAAAAGGUUUUUAGAUCAUCUGAAGACGAUAGCCCUAAGGUAUAGACAAUUUGUUCUCAGUUCAUUUUAGAAGACAAAACCUCAAAAGAACAAUUCUGAGUUUCAGAAAGAUUUACAGUACUCUACAUGUAUGUACUUUAUACAUUUCACCAUCAUGACAACUGAUAGAAAGUUAUUGUCAAGCAAACGUUAUUUCAGGAUACAAAGACACUGCUAUGCCAUUAUUAAUAAAAUGUAUUUAAUUUGGUUUUAA